CGGUUGAUCCUGCCGGACCCUACUGCUAUCGGGAUGGGACUAAGACAUGCUAGUUGUGCGCCUCCUAGCCAUGCUGGAGGCGCGGCACACAGCUCAGUAACACGUGGCUAACCUGCCCUUGGGACGGAAACAUCCCCGGGAAACUGGGGCCAAUGUCCGAUAGGCGAAGACCUCUGGAACGAUUCUUCACCCAAAAGACGUUUGGGGCAUGCUUCUAGACGUUGCCCAAGGAUGGGGCCGCGGCCGAUCAGGUUGUUGGUGAGGUAACGGCUCACCAAGCCUAUUACCGGUACGGGCCGUGGGAGCGGUAGCCCGGAGAUGGGCACUGAGACAAGGGCCCAGGCCCUACGGGGCGCAGCAGUCGCGAAAACUUCGCAAUAAGCGAAAGCUUGACGGGGCCAUCCCGAGUGCCAUCUGCUGAGGAUGGCUUUUACCUAGUAUAGAUAGCUGGGGGAAUAAGGAGAGGGCAAGUCUGGUGUCAGCCGCCGCGGUAAUACCAGCUCUCCGAGUUGUAGGGAUAUUUAUUGGGCCUAAAGCAUCCGUAGCCGGCUGAACAAGUCCCCUGUUAAAUCCAGCGAUUAAUCGUUGGCGUGCGGGGGANACUGCUCGGCUAGGGGGCGGGAGAGGCCGCCGGUAUUCUUGGGGUAGGGGUGAAAUCCUAUAAUCCCAGGAGGACCACCAGUGGCGAAGNNUGUCGGCUAGAACGCGCCCGACGGUGAGGGAUGAAAGCUGGGGGAGCGAACCGGAUUAGAUACCCGGGUAGUCCCAGCUGUAAACNAUGCNNNNAGGNNNUUAGGGCGGCUACNUGCCGCCCUAGUGNCGCAGGGAAGCUGUUAAGCCUGCCGCCUGGGGAGUA
Molecule: ribosomal RNA, 856 nt
Filed under: uncultured archaeon
Lineage: Archaea
Description: bacterial SSU rRNA
Rfam family: Archaeal small subunit ribosomal RNA
Source: RNAcentral